UAGAUGGAUCCGCGCCGUAUUAGCUAGUUGGUAAGGUAACGGCUUACCAAGGCAACGAUACGUAGCCGACCUGAGAGGGUGAUCGGCCACACUGGAACUGAGACACGGUCCAGACUCCUACGGGAGGCAGCAGUAGGGAAUCUUCCGCAAUGGGCGAAAGCCUGACGGAGCAACGCCGCGUGAGUGAUGAAGGUCUUCGGAUCGUAAAACUCUGUUAUCAGGGAAGAACAAAUGUGUAAGUAACUGUGCACAUCUUGACGGUACCUGAUCAGAAAGCCACGGCUAACUACGUGCCAGCAGCCGCGGUAAUACGUAGGUGGCAAGCGUUAUCCGGAAUUAUUGGGCGUAAAGCGCGCGUAGGCGGUUUUUUAAGUCUGAUGUGAAAGCCCACGGCUCAACCGUGGAGGGUCAUUGGAAACUGGAAAACUUGAGUGCAGAAGAGGAAAGUGGAAUUCCAUGUGUAGCGGUGAAAUGCGCAGAGAUAUGGAGGAACACCAGUGGCGAAGGCGACUUUCUGGUCUGUAACUGACGCUGAUGUGCGAAAGCGUGGGGAUCAAACAGGAUUAGAUACCCUGGUAGUCCA
RNAcentral lists this ribosomal RNA (583 nucleotides) under uncultured bacterium. RNAcentral's name for it is "bacterial SSU rRNA". It matches the Rfam family "Bacterial small subunit ribosomal RNA", at positions 222 to 797 of the family's 1533-position model. The record is from RNAcentral.